Molecule: long non-coding RNA, 1204 nt
Filed under: Bemisia tabaci
Lineage: Eukaryota; Metazoa; Arthropoda; Insecta; Hemiptera; Aleyrodidae
Description: lncRNA ENSSWEETPG007251
Source: RNAcentral
AGUUAGUUUCAAAAUGUAGAAGUCAAGUUCACAUGCUUAAACCACCAACAUAUUGUUAGGACGCAAUUUGUUUUUUCAACUUUCUAAGUUUAGUUUUUCUCUUCAAUAACUUUAUCGCAUUUGAUGAUUUUAUCCCUUUUGAGGUCCUGAGGUUAAAAUCCGUUAAAGACUACUUUAGAAACUUGUAAAAUUUAUAUCAACACUUUAGUUAAUAAUUAAUUUACUCAGAGACAUUCACCUCUUAGGCUAUAUGAAUGUCUUUACAAAGAAUAUGAAAGAUGGGUGCAGAUACACAAGAAUUCAGAUUUUUAAAUGAAGGGGGCAAAAAAGUUCAUUACUAAAUCCAUGCUAUUAUUCUUAGAUCCUGCUACUUAAGAGAAUAAAAUAUUGAAUGCGUUAUGUUAACGAUAAAUGGGUGUCCGUAAAAUUCAGAUUGACUAUUAAAUUUCUUAUUUUACUCAUUACUCACUAGUUUUCCUCGAAAGAAAACAGGUAUGUGAGUCGUACCGGUUUGUAUGUUGGAUUUUUAAAAGCUUAGAAAAGAAGCUGAAGAAGGGAAGCCGAAUUUUUCUGACGUGAAUCUAUCUUUUUAAUUAAUGGGCAUUAAACUACUUCUCAUUAUAUACUAAUUUUACCAUCUGAUAUCAUUCCAAGACGGAGCUGAAGUAGUGAAGUUGUGUCUUUUCCUGAAUCCAGACGAAAAGCUAAGCAUUUCGUUAAAUAAGGAUACAUCCAGCAGCUACUCACAUCACACAGACAUGGCUUUCAUGAAGGUAAGACCUGCCAGUUCCUAACCUCAAAAGUGAUGAUCUUUUUAUCUUUUUUAUAGCACGGCUUUUUCCAAUUGAAGCUCCUCUGUAGAAAACUGAGCAAAAAUUAUGAGCGAGCGCCCCAAUUUUGGGAAUUGCCGGAGAGAUGAAGAAAUUCAUAUGCUGAGAUGAAUGAAACAGCAAGUUUUUUUUAUCGAAACUUGAUUUAUAUACCCUAAACAAAAUUAUUGAGUGAUGUGUUGAUAAAAGUAAAGAUUUCAGUUCCUGUUACAAGAUUCUGGAAAAUCAGUCGCUCUGUUAAGAGAUCCCUCCAUUUGACAAUUUGUCAAAAAUGUCUCUCAACAUUUUAUGCAUCAUAACUAUCUUUAAUAUUUCAACAUUCUUAUGAGAUGUCCGGGGGAUCUUUUUCAGUUCAGUAUAGAGAACCUAUUUUU